UAGAUCGUUCUUUUUACAUGGAUAACUGUGGUAAUUCUAGAGCUAAUACAUGCAAAAAGCUCCGACCGUAUGGGAAGAGCGCUUUUAUUAGACCAAAACCAAUGGGGUCGCAAGAUCCCUUUGUCUGGUGACUCUGGAUAACUUUGUGCUGAUCGCAUGGCCUCGAGCCGGCGACGUAUCUUUCAAGUGUCUGCCCUAUCAACUUUCGAUGGUAAGCGAUUUGCCUACCAUGGUUGUAACGGGUAACGGGGAAUCAGGGUUCGAUUCCGGAGAGGGAGCAUGAGAAAUGGCUACCACAUCUACGGAAGGCAGCAGGCGCGCAAAUUACCCACUCCUAGAACGGGGAGGUAGUGACGAAAAAUAACAAUACCGGACUCAAUGAGGCUCGGUAAUUGAAAUGAGUACAGUUUAAAACCCUUAACGAGGAUCUAUUGGAGGGCAAGUCUGGUGCCAGCAGCCGCGGUAAUUCCAGCUCCAAUAGCGUAUAUUAAAGUUGUUGCAGUUAAAAAGCUCGUAGUUGGAUCUCGGGUACUAGCAUGCGGUACGCUUUACUGCGUUUACUGCAUGUCUGGUCCUAAUCAACCGGUUGGCCGUUGAUGCCC
This 602-nucleotide ribosomal RNA is filed under the name uncultured eukaryote. RNAcentral's name for it is "SSU rRNA". It matches the Rfam family "Eukaryotic small subunit ribosomal RNA", at positions 121 to 718 of the family's 1831-position model. The record is from RNAcentral.